Molecule: ribosomal RNA, 202 nt
Filed under: Bacillus sp. UM-CS2
Lineage: Bacteria; Bacillati; Bacillota; Bacilli; Caryophanales; Bacillaceae
Description: partial 16S rRNA
Rfam family: Bacterial small subunit ribosomal RNA
Source: RNAcentral
GGGCCUACGGGAGGCAGCAGUAGGGAAUCUUCCGCAAUGGGCGAAAGCCUGACGGAGCAACGCCGCGUGAGUGAUGAAGGUCUUCGGAUCGUAAAGCUCUGUUAUUAGGGAAGAACAAGUGCUAGUUGAAUAAGCUGGCACCUUGACGGUACCUAACCAGAAAGCCACGGCUAACUACGUGCCAGCAGCCGCGGUAAUACAA